This is a long non-coding RNA of Erigeron canadensis, 558 nucleotides long. RefSeq lists it as uncharacterized. The transcript is spliced from 2 exons. NCBI's taxonomy places the organism in Eukaryota, Viridiplantae, Streptophyta, Magnoliopsida, Asterales, Asteraceae. The record is from RefSeq and is a predicted model, not a curated record.
CAUUUUGUAACUACCGUUAGUUAGCCAACCAACACCUAACAGCUGUUAAGACCGUUACUUAUUUUGGUUGUGCAACAACGAGUUGUACCUUAUGCAUUGAGGGGAGUAUCUUUAGAUAUAGUACUCUUCCCUCACACAACGACUUUACCAUCUAUAUAUAUAUAGUAUAUUAUAAAAAGAAUAACAUUUUAUUUUUUUUAAUUACACAGUCAAUCUUUUAUCUUUUAAAAUUUCUUCUAUAAUAAUUAUUUUUACAUCUACUAUUUACACCACUCAACGUCUCAUCUACCACCAACAGUCGCCUCCACCACAUCGUCACUGCCACAAUCAACACCGUAUUGUUCGGAGGUAGUGGGAGUCAGGGAAUGAGUUUCAGAGCGGCGUCACGCGGUAAUACCGUUGUCACCUAGAGAGGAAGAAAAUCAGGGAGCUUCGCCGAAAGAAGGAAGGGAAGAAGGAAGAGAAAUGAGAUUGACUGGAAGUGAUGUGUGUGGACUCUUUUUUUAUUGUAAAAAUUAAUUGUCAUAAAUUGACUUUUUUAGUAUUUUUCAUUCAAUA